This 1308-nucleotide long non-coding RNA is filed under the name Trifolium pratense (red clover). RNAcentral describes it as "long non-coding RNA (TPRA_LNC004255)". Lineage: Eukaryota; Viridiplantae; Streptophyta; Magnoliopsida; Fabales; Fabaceae. The record is from RNAcentral.
AUGGCAUCCAUGAUGGUCGAUGAUGACGUGCGGGUUGAUGCAGGACGAGACAAUGGGGCAAGGCCAAUGGGUCGCGAUUCUCUUGAAAUGUCUGUGUUUGAAUGUGUUUUAAUUUGUUUGGAAAAAUACUUAAAUAAACAAACACGUGGCAUGAUCUACAGCGUGAGAUGUAUCAUACAGAAGAUCAGUGAAAUUAAGCCAAAUGCACUAUACCUUUUCCGCCAUAAAGUCAAAUAAUUCCUAUGGGAUUAGGAUUAAUUCCCAACCCGUAUAAUAAUCUAACAGCUCCAAUCUGCAUUUACUCUUGUUUUAGGAUCGAUGAUGUAGCCUAUAUAUAACAGUAGAAGUUAGGAAGAACCGCAAUUGUUCAAACUUUCAGCAUUUGUAAAAGGUCAAAGACAUUUUUCCAUGCAAUACGGAAAUAAAAUGUAUAAAAUACAUUUGUAACGUUAAUGUAGGGUCUCUAAUUUAUUGUAGAGUAAUAUUCAUUGGGACACAACACAACCCGUUUAUCUGUAAGAUGCUCCUGCAAACAACAGCUAGCUAGGGGUCAACAUGUGAGCCAAACCUACUUGUGGCACAAAGCAACACCCUCACUCACCAAGAAGAGGUGACUCUUGUUGCAUAGCGAGAGAACAACCCUAAAACUUUGCAUGUUGUUGAACAUAUAUGGACUAGUAUUUGGUGGCAAUUAAAUGAAGUUUAAAAUUAAUUAACCCCAUAAUUGGAAUCAAAUCUUUCUUCACUUUUAUUGUCAAGUCAUCCACAAACCGGAAUCAAACACACUUCAAUUUUAACUAGCUUAAAUUCAUGUCCAAAAUAUGACUCAAUUUAACUAGUAUCGAUCAAAAACAACAAAUAAAUGAAUGAAAUUGAGUAAAGCAUUAAUUUAUUUCUUCAAUUUAUUGUAUCCAUGCAUAUUAAUUGUCAACAAAAUGCAGAUGAUAUAUUCUAUUAUUACACUAGAAAUUCAUAGAGAAAAUUAACAUAUUCUUCUAUUACUUCGCAUAUACAUACACGUGCACAUCCCUGCUUUGCUUCAUGGAGGGUAAAUUGGGAAUUUCAUGAUGUCUUCCUCACUCUAACUAACACUUCCCUGAGAAUUUUCUAGAUCUGCAAACUAAGCCGUUAUUCCAAUCCUUUCCUUUUUUGCUUCAUUUGUUUCUCUAUCAAAUCAACAAAAGCAAGAAAGAUGAUGAGAGAACAAUUGGAUUGAAGAGAGAGAAAGAUGAAGGAGACGCGGCGGAAGGUGGCGGAGGACUGUAGUAGUAGAAAGGAAAAUAAGGAACAAUCGGAUUAGGUGGUGGU